GAAAUGCGAUAAGUAAUGUGAAUUGCAGAAUUCAGUGAAUCAUCGAAUCUUUGAACGCACCUUGCGCUCCUUGGUAUUCCAUGGAGCAUGCAUGUUUGAGUGUCACGUUACACUUCGCCCCUGCGGCCUUCACUGGCCGCACGUGGUGGACUUGGACCGUGCCGUGUCCGGCUCGUCCUGAAAUGCAUUAGCUGGUGUCGCCCUGGGUGCGCUCCCGGCAAGCGGUGUGAUAAUUAUCUGCGCCGUCUCUGCCUGCCGCCCUCCCGCUUUCGCCGCUUCCAACCGUCCCUAUCGGGACAGCUUACUUUAAAGCUCUGGCCUCAAAUCAGGUAGGACUACCCGCUGAACUUAA
RNAcentral lists this unclassified non-coding RNA (352 nucleotides) under uncultured Auriculariales. RNAcentral describes it as "sequence contains ITS1". The stretch from base 1 to 105 matches the Rfam family "5.8S ribosomal RNA", at positions 50 to 154 of the family's 154-position model. The record is from RNAcentral. Lineage: Eukaryota; Fungi; Basidiomycota; Agaricomycetes; Auriculariales.